CAUCUUGUCACAUGAAAAUAUGACAUUGUUUCCUACUUGACAAAACUUAUGCUAAGGACAAUAAUUGAGAUAAAUGUUGAAUUAUUUGGAAUUAAUUCAAUACAAAAACAUGAUUACAAUCAAUAUACUAUAUAUUUUAUACAGUGAUUCUAACUAAACUAACUUACACUACCAACUCCAACUAUAUGUAACAAAUCUAUAACCGUAUCUAACUGAAAUAGAUUUUCCAGAAACUCACAUAGUUGCAAACAGGCUACAAAGGGUAAGCAGAAUAAUUUUUUCUUGUUCUUUUGGAUCAAUGAGCAAAACAUUAUUACCAAUUCAAACCACACAAAGCAACAAAAUAAUCCAAUAUAUACAAUAUGACCACAAAAUUAUGAAACCAAAUGAAAUAAAACAGUUAUUAUUAUUAUUACUAAAUAAAAAGAUUGAAAGCAGUUAAUUCCGAAAAUACAAUAAAAAGAAAGCAAAUAAUUUUAAGAAUUGCGUUCAGGGAAAGANN
RNAcentral lists this long non-coding RNA (502 nucleotides) under Cicer arietinum (chickpea). RNAcentral describes it as "long non-coding RNA (CARI_LNC000036)". The record is from RNAcentral. Lineage: Eukaryota; Viridiplantae; Streptophyta; Magnoliopsida; Fabales; Fabaceae.